UUUUUGAUGCCGCUGGCUUUGGCUUAACACAUGCAAGUCGAGCGGAAACCAUGGUAGCUUGCUACCAGGCGUCGAGCGGCGGACGGGUGAGUAAUACUUAGGAAUCUACCUAGUAGUCGGGGGAUAGCACGGGGAAACUCGUAUUAAUACCGCAUACGACCUACGGGAGAAAGGGGGCAGUUUACUGCUCUCGCUAUUAGAUGAGCCUAAUUCGGAUUAGCUAGAUGGUGGGGUAAAGGCCUACCAUGGCGACGAUCUGUAGCUGGUCUGAGAGGAUGAUCAGCCACACCGGGACUGAGACACGGCCCGGACUCCUACGGGAGGCAGCAGUGGGGAAUAUUGGACAAUGGGGGAAACCCUGAUCCAGCCAUGCCGCGUGUGUGAAGAAGGCCUUUUGGUUGUAAAGCACUUUAAGCAGUGAAGAAGACUCCGUGGUUAAUCCCACGGACGAUGACAUUAGCUGCAGAAUAAGCACCGGCUAACUCUGUGCCAGCAGCCGCGGUAAUACAGAGGGUGCAAGCGUUAAUCGGAAUUCUGGGCGUAAAGGGAGCGUAGGUGGCUAAUAAGUCAGAUGUGAAAUCCCCGGCUCACCUGGGAACUGCAUCUGAUCUGUUGAGCUAGAGUUGUGAGAGAAGGUGAAUUCAGGUGUAGCGGUGAAAUCGUAAAAUCUGGAGGAAU
RNAcentral lists this ribosomal RNA (678 nucleotides) under uncultured Antarctic soil bacterium. RNAcentral describes it as "bacterial SSU rRNA". It matches the Rfam family "Bacterial small subunit ribosomal RNA", at positions 22 to 707 of the family's 1533-position model. The record is from RNAcentral.